GGUUGACCUCGGAUCAGGUAGGGAUACCCGCUGAACUUAAGCAUAUCAAUAAGCGGAGGAAAAGAAACCAACAGGGAUUGCCCCAGUAACGGCGAGUGAAGCGGCAACAGCUCAAAUUUGAAAUCUGGCGCAAGCCCGAAUUGUAAUUUGUAGAGGAUGCUUCUGGGUAGCGGCCGGUCUAAGUUCCUUGGAACAGGACGUCACAGAGGGUGAGAAUCCCGUAUGUGAUCGGCCCGCGCCCUCUACGUAGCUCCUUCGACGAGUCGAGUUGUUUGGGAAUGCAGCUCUAAAUGGGAGGUAAAUUUCUUCUAAAGCUAAAUACCGGCCAGAGACCGAUAGCGCACAAGUAGAGUGAUCGAAAGAUGAAAAGCACUUUGGAAAGAGAGUUAAACAGCACGUGAAAUUGUUGAAAGGGAAGCGCUUGCAACCAGACUUGUCCGCGGUGUUCCGCCGGUCUUCUGACCGGUCUACUCGCCGCGGGCAGGCCAUCAUCGUCUGGGGCCGCCGGAGAAACCGUCAGGAAUGUAGCUCCCUCGGGAGUGUUAUAGCCUGGCGACAUGCGGCGCGCCCCGGGCGAGGUCCGCGCACUGCAAGGAUGAUGGCGUAAUGGUUGUCAGCGGCCCGUCUUGAAACACGGACCAAGGAGUCUAACAUCUAUGCGAGUGUUCGGGUGUCAAACCCCUACGCGUAAUGAAAGUGAACGGAGGUGGGAGCUUCGGCGCACCAUCGACCGAUCCUGAUGUCCUCGGAUGGAUUUGAGUAAGAGCAUAGCUGUUGGGACCCGAAAGAUGGUGAACUAUGCCUGAAUAGGGUGAAGCCAGAGGAAACUCUGGUGGAGGCUCGCAGCGGUUCUGACGUGCAAAUCGAUCGUCAAAUUUGGGUAUAGGGGCGAAAGACUAAUCGAACCAU
RNAcentral lists this ribosomal RNA (909 nucleotides) under Ramichloridium apiculatum. RNAcentral's name for it is "eukaryotic LSU rRNA". It matches the Rfam family "Eukaryotic large subunit ribosomal RNA", at positions 1 to 943 of the family's 3401-position model. The record is from RNAcentral. Lineage: Eukaryota; Fungi; Ascomycota; Dothideomycetes; Mycosphaerellales; Dissoconiaceae.